This is a non-coding RNA of Postia placenta Mad-698-R, 83 nucleotides long. The record is from Rfam. Lineage: Eukaryota; Fungi; Basidiomycota; Agaricomycetes; Polyporales; Adustoporiaceae.
UGCCCCAUGGCUGAGUUGGUUACAGCGUCCGACUGUUACUUGACGGGAUCGGAAGGUCGUGAGUUCGAGCCUCACUGGGGCAG